RNAcentral lists this ribosomal RNA (330 nucleotides) under uncultured eukaryote. RNAcentral's name for it is "partial 18S ribosomal RNA". It matches the Rfam family "Eukaryotic small subunit ribosomal RNA", at positions 1470 to 1796 of the family's 1831-position model. The record is from RNAcentral.
CCCUUAGAUGUCCGGGGCUGCACGCGCGCUACACUGAAUGAAUCAGCGUGCUAGAAAACCUUGUUUGACAUGGCUAGGUAACCCAUUGAAAAUCAUUCGUGAUUGGGAUCGGGACUUGCAAAUGUGUCCCUUGAACGAGGAAUUCCCAGUAAGUGCGGGUCAUCAGCUCGCGUUGAUUACGUCCCUGCCCUUUGUACACACCGCCCGUCGCUGCCCGGAACUGAGCCGUUUCGAGAAGACUGGGGAUUGCUGACUUGAGGCCUUCACGGGCUUCUAGUCGGUGAAAAGCAAUUUAAUCGCAGCGGCUUGAACCGGGCAAAAGUCGUAACA